This 99-nucleotide non-coding RNA is filed under the name bovine gut metagenome. The record is from RNAcentral.
AAUCACAAGGGGAGCUUUGGCUGAGAGUUACAUGGGAUUAUCCCUAGUAUGACCCUCCGAACCUGAUGCGGGUAAUUCCGUCGCAGGGAUGUGUUUUUU